RNAcentral lists this non-coding RNA (28 nucleotides) under Mus musculus (house mouse). Lineage: Eukaryota; Metazoa; Chordata; Mammalia; Rodentia; Muridae. The record is from RNAcentral.
UUCCCCACCACAGUGAAAGGAAGUAGGC